Molecule: non-coding RNA, 553 nt
Organism: Phascolarctos cinereus (koala)
Lineage: Eukaryota; Metazoa; Chordata; Mammalia; Diprotodontia; Phascolarctidae
Source: RefSeq, a predicted model, not a curated record
CCUGGUUGGAACGAAGACGAGCUGGUGUGUGGGGAGACAAUAUUUGAACCCAGCUCUUCGUCGCUGCAAGCCAUGGAGCUAGGUGGUGCAUUGGAGAGCGCGGUGGACCUCGAAACAGGAAGAACGAAGUUCAGAUUCAGCCUCAGACUCUGGCUAGCCGUGUGACCCUGGAUGAGGAAACUGAGUAACAGAGCAGAGACUAGAAUCUAGGCCAGCCCCUGGGUAAUGUCUUUUUCCACUACCAAGUACCUCAGAUUUUAAUUCUCCAGACUUAGGUCUGGUUGGUAUUGUGAUGCAGAAGAAUCUGAAAAUCAAAAAAUAUGGGUUUGACAAACAUAUGAUCUCUGCUUCAGGGCCUUUUGGCAUCAAAAGGAGAAACUUGCUCAUGGUUGGUUCCUUUGGUUUUUAAGAAGUCAUAAUAAUAACUCACAUUUGUAUAAUGCUUUGAGGAUUACAAAGUUUUAUGCAAAAUGAAAUUAGUAGAACCAGGAGAACAUUGUACACAGUAACAGCAAUAUUGUAAGAUGAUCAACUGUGAAUGACUUAGCUAUUC